This is a long non-coding RNA of Sphaeramia orbicularis (orbiculate cardinalfish), 129 nucleotides long. RefSeq lists it as uncharacterized. Lineage: Eukaryota; Metazoa; Chordata; Actinopteri; Kurtiformes; Apogonidae. The transcript has 3 exons. The record is from RefSeq and is a predicted model, not a curated record.
AGUCCACCUUAAAAACCCCGACACAAACAGAAAGCUGAUCCUCAGCAGGAACUCGACCUCUGCAGGCUGUUGAGGAAUUAAUGAAGUACAGAGAGAGCAGCCUUUGUUAGUCUGCAAGUUUGUUUUAUU